Molecule: RNA transcript, 3543 nt
Organism: Cyprinodon variegatus (sheepshead minnow)
Lineage: Eukaryota; Metazoa; Chordata; Actinopteri; Cyprinodontiformes; Cyprinodontidae
Gene: flvcr2b
Gene name: feline leukemia virus subgroup C receptor-related protein 2-like
Exons: 11
Source: RefSeq, a predicted model, not a curated record
AAAGAUUUCAAAGCGGCGGGUUUGGGUCCGGGUGGAGGGUCACAGCAGGCGUCCAAACACGUGUUAAAUCGACCUCUAAUUCUAUAUUUAUUCAUGAAAUUUCUUGUUUAACCUUCAUUUAUCUUCAGGGGGGAAACGUUGACAGUAGAAGUUCAUUUCGGGAAGGCAAUGUGCCGUCAACUCUCUGCGGUACUUUAUUCCUGUUAUAAAUGAACACCAGAAAAAUAUGAAUUUGUAGAAAUUUCUUUGUAUUUAUUUAGCCGUUUGUAGACACUAAAGGGAAGCGGUGCGUUUAUUUAUUGAGGACUUGAACAUGAGCGAGAAACAAGCGUCUGAAGACCGUAAAGUAACCCCGGAGGAGUCCGGGAACCAUGUGAGGGUAGAGGCGCGCGACGCGUCACCGCUCCCCGACGAUCAAAGCCCAGAGGACCGCCGCCACGCGCCGCAGGAGACCCGUCUGUACAAACGCCGCUGGAUCAUCGUGUUCCUCUUUAGCUCCUAUUCGCUGUGCAACUCCUAUCAAUGGAUCCAGUACGGAAUCAUCGGGAACAUCUUCGUGAGGUUCUACAACGUGGAAGAAUUCACCAUAGACUGGAUGUCCAUGAUCUACAUGCUGACCUACAUCCCGCUCAUCUUCCCGGUGACCUGGCUGCUGGACAAGAAGGGGCUCCGGGUAAUCGCGCUGGCGGGGACCGGGCUCAACUGCGUCGGGACGUGGAUCAAAGUGGUCAGCGUCCGACCCGACCUGUUCGGCGUCACCUUCCUGGGUCAGUUCUGCUGCUCUUUGGCGCAGGUCUUCAUCCUGGGGAUGCCGUCCAAAAUCGCCUCGGUUUGGUUCGGUUCGGAGGAGGUGUCAACCGCCUGCUCCAUCGGAGUCUUUGGGAAUCAGCUGGGUUGUGCCAUUGGUUUCCUCUUACCUCCAAUCCUGGUGCCUAACGUAAAUGACAUGGACGAGCUGGCGAACCACAUCCGAAACAUGUUCUACAUAACAGCAGGAGUGGCAACAUUUCUCUUCAUCCUUGUUGUCUUUGUUUUCCAAGAGCGUCCGAAGCUUCCUCCGACUCUGGCGCAGGCCUCAGCUCUCACAAUCCCAGCGGAGGAGUACUCCUAUAGGGCAUCUAUCCUCAGGUUGCUCCGAAACAAGCCCUUUGUUCUCCUCAUCAUCAGUUAUGGUCUGAAUGUGGGUUGUUAUUACGCUGUUGGAACUCUGCUGAACCGCAUGAUCCUCAAGCAUCACCCUGACCAAGAAGUGAACGCUGGGAGGAUUGGGCUCACCAUUGUCAUUGCAGGGAUGGUGGGCUCCCUCAUCUGUGGAGUCUGGCUGGACAGGAGUAAGACGUACAAGCAAACUACUCUUGCUGUGUACAUCAUGACGCUAGUGGGGAUGAUCAUAUACACUGCAACACUCGGCCAGAAAUACCUCUGGGUGGUGUUUAUCACUGCGGGAGCUCUUGGGUUCUUCAUGACAGGCUACCUACCUCUGGGUUUCGAGUUUGCAGCUGAAUUGACGUAUCCAGAGUGCGAGGGAACUUCCUCAGGGUUGCUGAACUGUUCAGCGCAGGUGUUUGGCAUCAUAUUUACCAUCUGCCAAGGGAAAAUCAUUGACAAGUUUGGCACCUUGGAAGGAAACAUUUUCCUCUGUGUGUUUCUACUAAUAGGCUCAAUAAUGACAGCCUUUAUCAAGUCUGAUCUGCGGAGACAGAAUGCAAACCAACUUGCCAAAGAAGAGGCGGAGAAGCGGAUGUUGGAAAUAGACUACGGAGCAACAGCGCAAAUCUCGUCCCAGCCACAAACUCCUUCCUCUCAAGUCUGAUCAAAUAAAAAAAUUUCUGUGUACACAAAAAAAAUCUUCUCAAAUUUUAGCUCAACACAGAAUCAGAAAGGAACCUACCAAUUACACUACAGAAAACUUGGACUCACCCACCAUCAUCAAAGAAGUCCAGUUUUAGGGAAUUACAUUUCCUAUCAACAUUUUAUAUGAAGAACUGAAAAUCAUAAAACUUCCAAAACAUUUUCCUUUUGAAUUGACCAAGACAAAGGGUUGACUGUCAGUAUUUUUUUUCACGUUAAUUACAAAUGCCUGGCUAAAAUAAAGCAACAAAGUUUGAUAUUUUGUUGAACCACUUUUAGAUUUGAUUGCAUCACAUAUUAGCUAUGGCAUUCAAGUGUAUAAUUAUGUCUAAACUGGCAAUGUGAUCUUUGGGAAGAGAACAGAAUGACUGUGAAAACCCAAAACUUUUUGUUGUUGUUGUUGCUGUUCUGCAGACAUCAUAAGUAUUUAAAUACUCAACUAAAUCCAUGACAACAUGUGCAGCUGCUACUCUGUUCAAUGUCACAGGACCGGUUUAAAAAACGGAUAAAUCCAAGUUGUAUCAGUGAAGGGACAGUAUUAACUUUAGUUUUAAAAGCUAAAUGGCUUAUAUCUAUGUAGUCCUUUUUUAAAGACACCCUGACCAUUCAAUGCACUUUAGACAGAGCCAAUUUCACCGGAUCACAUUCAUGUACCAACACAUAAUUCUGAUUGUUCCACAUUAGAACACAACAUGGUGAUAUAUGUAUUGGUCAAGGGAGACAAUGACAUGUAGCAAGAAUCAAUCCGAUAUUUGUUAGAGUUUCUACUGAGACACAGUCAUCAAUCUCCCUGUAGACAUGCAGAUCAUUUUCUGGAGCCCCUGGAAAGGCGCGGUAAAGGUCCUCCAUAUAAAUGAUUAUGAACAUUUGGGAGCCAUGUGAGGGUUCUUAGCUUCAGUUACCUUGAGUGAGAAUUAUUUUAUUUACCUCAUCCAGCUUUGUUUCUCACAGGUACAGCUAUUUUACAUCUUUUUAAUUGAAUUCCUCUUUAAGUCUGUUCUCUUGUAAACACUCUAGUGUUUUAAAUUCUCUACUAUUUUUUAAGAGUUAGAGAAAUUGGCCUCUAUCCCAUGAUAUCUAAAACUCAUUCAGAAAAAGAAAUGAUGGAUUACCAAUUAAAAGCACUUAAACGCUGAUUAACUUUAAACAGUAAAGGAUAAAUGACAAUCACACUUCAGCUAUCGUUUUCAAAACAAUAGCUGAACUUUAACAACUUUACUUGUUUAGUUUCCAUUUUAAGGUUGCAUUUCUAUAAAUUGUACUGUGAGAUUAUGUCCUGGAUAAAAAAAAAAUAUAAUUUAGGGCCUUUAACUUUUUUCAAAUGGUUUAAAUUUGUGUACAGUGAAGUAAACGAUAUAAUUUUGAGUCUUUUUUAUUUCCUAAAAGUCAUGCAUAUAAAUAAUUUGCAACUUUAGUUUUGAAUGCGCAGAGGUUAAUCUAAUUUAAAUUGAAAAGGACUAAUGCAUCAAUAGAAGAUUUGACAUAGAAAACAUCGAUUUUCCAGCAACAAAUAAAUAAAACAUUCACACCAAUGAUAAUUUUAGUUUGACUUAUCCUAACAUUCACAUUUUUUCAUUUUAUUCUGUUAAAAAGAUGUGCAUGUUUUGCUUUUUCUAAUGUAGGAAAUGUCCAUCAAGAAUAUUUUCAAGGUAAUUGCUGACAGUUUUAGGUGUGUAAAAUGUCAGAUUUUAU